This 3423-nucleotide long non-coding RNA is filed under the name Triticum aestivum (bread wheat). Its description in RNAcentral is "long non-coding RNA (TAES_LNC019425)". Lineage: Eukaryota; Viridiplantae; Streptophyta; Magnoliopsida; Poales; Poaceae. The record is from RNAcentral.
UUUUUUUUCCUUAAUUGAAAUUGUGUGUACUUAGCAAAAAUUAGAAUCGCACACACAAAAAAAUCAAAUGAAGCUGAAUUAAAAUAAGUUAAAAAUUAGGAAAUAUGUUUCACAAUAUCUUAGGUUUUCCGUUAUUUGAGUUAAAAAGCGGUCAUAUUUUCACCGACAGACUCACACACAUCGCAGAACGUGAACCUGUCGCAUCCUUUUUGGCCUUAUGAGCGGACGUUCGCUUGAUGAUGCAAUAAAUAUUACUCCCUCGUAAUAUAAAAAAAAAAUAUUAUGGAACCAAGAGAGUAGUUAUGAGUGCAGUCCUCAUAAACCAAAGUGGAGAGAGAAGUCAACAUACAGUGUUCUACAAAUGGAAAAACAAAACUUUAAUAUAUACUUUUUUGUUCACAUAAAACCAUAAUAAUGCAACCAGAUGAUCAGAUGUUAAGUGCUGAAAUUUUAGCUAAGCAACUAAAGAAUCUUUGUGGAAUUGAACCACCUUCCAUCUGGGAUUUGAGCAUAUGCCCCGGAUCCACAGAGAAUCUCUCCUGACAGAAAGAUCCAUGACGAAAAGGGAAGAUAAUACUUGUUGCUUAUUACUCCCACCAUUCCAAAAUACAAUGUAUGGUUUACUAUUGAACAAGAUUAUAGAUUAAAUAUCAUCAUCUUAAUUUUAAUAAAUAAAAAUACUUUUCAUGACGAUCUAAUGAUGCAAAUAUGAAGAUUUUCAUGCAAAAGAAGAAACCUUAUAUUUUGGGUUUACUAACAUAAUUUGGGUCAGAUUUUCACCAUGAUUUUAACUAAUAAGAUACUGCCUCAAUCCAAUAUAACUGUCGUGCUUUAUAAAAAGCUUAAAAUAAAUCAACUUCACUUAUUUUGGGACCGAUAGAGUAUAAGUCAUAUAGCAAAAAUAAAUUGACACUACAUCAAUUCAAAUAUAAUUUGGUGAAAGGCAUUAAGACAAACAUAUGGUCAAAUUUUUGACCCAAAAUAAGAUAAGGACUAAUAAACCCAGAAUGAGGUAGUGUUGUGGAGCGGUAAAUUUCAUAUUUUGGGUCAGAUUUUGACCAUGAAUUUAACUGAUAAAAUACUCCCUCCAUCCUAUAUAAGUGCCACUGCUUUAUAAUAAAUAAAGAAUUUAAUAAAUCAACUACACUUAUUUUGGGACUGAGGGAGUAUAGGUUAUACAUAGCAAACAUAAAUUGAAACCACAUUCAAAUACAUUCAACAAUAUAAUUUGAUGACAUGCAUUAAGACCAACAUAUGAUCAAAUUUUGACCCAAAAUACGACAAGGAGUAAUAAACCCAGAAUGAGGUAGUAUUGUGUAGCACCCAGCGUAUAUAAAUUUCAUAUUUUCAGUCGGAUUUUGACCAUGAACUUAACUUAUAAAAUACUCCAUCCAAUAAGUGUCGUUGCUUUACAAAUUAUAAAAACUUGAAAUAAAUCGACUACACUUGGACUGAGAGAGUAUAGGUUAUACAAAGCAAACAUAAAAUGAAGCUACAUUCAAAUACAAAUUCAACAAUAUAAUUUUGUGACAUGCAUUAAGACAAACAUAUGGUCAAAUUUUGACCCGAAAUACUACAAAGACUAAUAAACAUUAGCAGUUGCUGCGGCAACUACCAUUGCAGAUCAGUUCAAGAUCUAGUCCAGAUAUAACUGGUAAAUGGCUGAAAAUUAUCUGCGCGUACCAAUCAACAACUAUGUAGUACAAUAAACUAACUGCACAAGAUCCUCAAAAUUAUGUGUGCCCAACUGGACAAAAACACAACUAAAACUCAUUGCUGACAGAUAUAUUAAAACUGAAAAAAUAAGUUCAGAAGAUUGAAAAUAGACUUGCUCAAUAUGAAAUUAUGUGUGGGAUAUAUGGAAUGUAAUAUUUGAACUAAAACUAACCACUGACUAAAUGCAGAAGAAUCAAAUAGCACAUAAUUUACUGGAGUACAUCUUAACCAGUUUCUCGAAGUCUGCUGAGCCUAUGAUGACCAGAAUUGAGGUCCACGUUUAGAUUCUUCUGCUGCAGGGUGCUUCUUCAUAAAUAUGAUGUCCACAUCCAGGGAAGAUAGCUGUAGAUUUAAUUUCUGGACUAUACAAUCCCAUCAUAAAGCUAUUCAGGAGAGCAGACAAACAUAUGAACAUUGUACAUUGUACAUCUCAAAUUGAAAUAGAGACCACGAUCAAAUUGUGAUCAUUGUACAUCUCAAGAGAGCAGACAAACAUAUGAACACAAAUUUAGAAAAAAUAACAACCCUUGAUAUAUAUACCAUAUUCUGGGGAAAAAUAGAAAACAAAACGAUUUGGCCUUCUGUUUAGACUGCCGAUUGUUAUUUAAGUUCAAAUUUGAGCUGUGAUAUGAUAGCAGAUUCAACAGCGAAUCAGACAAAUGAUUUCACUACAACUACGAGACUGAGAGUAACUUAAACGGGUUCAAGUGAUCACGAAUUCCUCCGUGUAAACAAGCUCAGAACAGAAUUACAAUUUACGAGAGCAGUACUUUGUCUCAAGUUUAUGUAUGCUUCAGCUGUAGAUUAUCGAUUGUACCUUUGGUUUGUAGCUCCUUGAUCGAUUCGCGACGGUAGAACGUUGUGCCAGGAAGAUUGGAUCGGACGAGAGGUGCAGACAAAGGAGCACACCAGGACACGGUGGGGGGAGACCCCGGGGCUGAAACAGAAAAAUCCCCGUGCGAUCUCCCCCCGGACACAAGAACCAUCUUUAUUACGGUGGUGGCCUGCCAUGCGAGCGCACCCAACAUGGCAAAGGCCUCUAGGUGUCACAUCUCUCUCUUUUUUCACUCCUUUUUCCCUCUUGGCACGAUCACCUCGCUUGUUACAUGCUCUUACCUCCGAUCUCUUAGAUCUAAUAAUUAUCGAGAUAUCAUCGGAUAAUUAUCAAUACAAGAGCCGCCGUCGCGCGAGGCGGAGAAGACGGGAUCCCCACGUGCAUGCCGGAGAAGACGCCUUCCUCGCCGCAGGGUCAACCCGAGACCACCGGGAACCCCCAGAUCCGCCGCGGGCCAUCAGAUCUACGAGUCAUACCGGCACGGAAAGUCAGGCAAGACGGAUCUACGGCUCAAUCACGCGGUGGAGACGAUCUCAGCGGGGGAAAAUACUCACAGGUAACAGAUCUGACUCGCCGGACGGGCAGACCGGAAGAUGCAGCCGCCUCGCAACUCGCUCCAAGAUCGCCGCAAGCCCAGCCCGUCGAUCGACGAGGAACCUGCGAACCAGAGAGCACACGGGGGUUUCGCGGGAAAAAUCAUGGUAGCCAGACUCACGGGCUCACCUUGCCGAGAUGGAGGUAGUUGUGGUUGGGAGGAGGAGGCGGGUUCUUCUCUAUAUCAAGGAUCUGAUCUAGUGUAUAGGGGGAGGGAAAAAGGUUGCGUGUCGCAGAGGAGAACGCGGCGGCUUUGUUGGUGGUCUGCUCAGAGUCGG